Non-coding RNA from Lutzomyia longipalpis, 72 nucleotides. The record is from Rfam. Lineage: Eukaryota; Metazoa; Arthropoda; Insecta; Diptera; Psychodidae.
GCCGUGAUCGUCUAGUGGUCAGGACCCCUCGUUGUGGCCGAGGAAACACAGGUUCGAAUCCUGUUCACGGCA